CAUUCAGAUCUCACUUUCAUGCACAGCAUAAGGGCAUAGUGAGGGAGUGUCUGAAGGGUGGUGUGCUAUGGCUACUCUGGGUUGCAGAGCAGACUGUGGACACCCAAGAGUAGUUGUAGAAUUAGAGCAUAACCAGGGAUUGCUCUAAUUUAUGCUAGGAUCUAUGCCACACCCCAAGCCCCCGGAAGAGCCUAGAAUCCCACAGGUGCCAAGCACAUGUAUGGCAGGUGAAAGAUCGUGGGUAGACAUGGCUCUAAGUAAUGAAGUCCACACAAUAGGGGCAUCACUGGCAGCAGCAUCAGUACAGGCUUUACCCAGACUCCCUUCUCGACCAGGGCCAAGUCUGAGCCAUGACUUGGGUUUUAUAGGAAAGAAAAGAGGUGCAAUGUGAAGCCUGCAAGAGUUAAUGGAGUCUCAGGACAUUAAUAGCAACUCUUCAGCCUCUCCAUAGUCUGGGGGAGAAGAUGUCCUCUCUGUGACAUGCGCUAAGAGAUCCAGCACAGAGCUGUGUGCCAAUGGAAAGCUCUGACCCAUU
Long non-coding RNA from Mauremys mutica (yellowpond turtle), 535 nucleotides. RefSeq lists it as uncharacterized. The transcript has 3 exons. The record is from RefSeq and is a predicted model, not a curated record. NCBI's taxonomy places the organism in Eukaryota, Metazoa, Chordata, Testudines, Geoemydidae.